GACGAACCGUGCGAACGUUAUUCGGAAUCACUGGGCUUAAAGCGCGUGUAGGCGGGACGGCACGUCGGUCGCUGAAAUCCCCCGGCUCAACCGGGGAACGGGCGCCGAUACGACCGGCCUGGAGGGGCGUAGGGGGACCUGGAGCUUCCGGUGGAGCGGUGAAAUGCGUUGAGAUCGGAAGGAACGCCCGUGGCGAAAGCGAGGUCCUGGACGCCUACUGACGCUGAGACGCGAAAGCCAGGGGAGCGAACGGG
RNAcentral lists this ribosomal RNA (254 nucleotides) under uncultured bacterium. RNAcentral's name for it is "partial 16S ribosomal RNA". It matches the Rfam family "Bacterial small subunit ribosomal RNA", at positions 524 to 776 of the family's 1533-position model. The record is from RNAcentral.